Molecule: non-coding RNA, 29 nt
Filed under: Mus musculus (house mouse)
Lineage: Eukaryota; Metazoa; Chordata; Mammalia; Rodentia; Muridae
Source: RNAcentral
UUGGCUGCCAUUGACAUGUUGUUAUGCCA